AACGAACGCUGGCGGCAGGCCUAACACAUGCAAGUCGAGCGAGGACUUCGGUCCUAGCGGCGGACGGGUGAGUAACGCGUGGGAACGUGCCCUUUGGUACGGAAUAGCCCCGGGAAACUGGGAGUAAUACCGUAUGGUGUCUUCGGACUAAAGAUUUAUCGCCAAAGGAUCGGCCCGCGUUGGAUUAGGUAGUUGGUGGGGUAAUGGCCUACCAAGCCGACGAUCCAUAGCUGGUUUGAGAGGAUGAUCAGCCACACUGGGACUGAGACACGGCCCAGACUCCUACGGGAGGCAGCAGUGGGGAAUCUUAGACAAUGGGGGCAACCCUGAUCUAGCCAUGCCGCGUGAGUGAUGAAGGCCCUAGGGUUGUAAAGCUCUUUCAGGGGGGAAGAUAAUGACUGUACCCCCAGAAGAAGCCCCGGCUAACUCCGUG
This 433-nucleotide ribosomal RNA is filed under the name uncultured bacterium. Its description in RNAcentral is "bacterial SSU rRNA". It matches the Rfam family "Bacterial small subunit ribosomal RNA", at positions 29 to 507 of the family's 1533-position model. The record is from RNAcentral.